Daucus carota subsp. sativus is the source of this 115-nucleotide non-coding RNA. NCBI's taxonomy places the organism in Eukaryota, Viridiplantae, Streptophyta, Magnoliopsida, Apiales, Apiaceae. The record is from Rfam.
AGACAAUGAUGAGGACACGAGCAUUGAAUAUCUUUGAAUCUGUCCCAUGCAUCCUCAAGAGUUUCAUCAUAUUCUUGUUUGAAAGUGGUCAACUUGUCAACCAAUUCAUUAGUUU